GAAACCACAAGAGAAAUCUGAUGUAUAUGAUUGUGUCCUUGCUAUGCAUGUUGAUUUCUGAAAGAGAGCCGUCAAAUGAACGGAGUCUGUUUUCCCUGAAUAGGAAGAUUUGAUGCAUCUGCCUGCUCGCUUGCUUCCUCUGUCCCACAUGCAAGCUUCGGUGACUGUUUCCCACAGAGCACCCAAGGGGCAUAGCAAACACGUGAAGAGAUCACACUACUUCCACAGAAGGAGCUUCACAGUAACUUGGAUCUUUACACGAAAGUGUAAAUUCAGAGCAACUUACCCAACUCUGCAACAAAGAUGAUAAAGUUUGCAAGGAG
This is a non-coding RNA of Microcebus murinus (gray mouse lemur), 323 nucleotides long. The record is from RefSeq and is a predicted model, not a curated record. Lineage: Eukaryota; Metazoa; Chordata; Mammalia; Primates; Cheirogaleidae.